This 300-nucleotide ribosomal RNA is filed under the name uncultured Methanococcoides sp. Its description in RNAcentral is "bacterial SSU rRNA". It matches the Rfam family "Bacterial small subunit ribosomal RNA", at positions 496 to 795 of the family's 1533-position model. The record is from RNAcentral. Lineage: Archaea; Methanobacteriati; Methanobacteriota; Methanomicrobia; Methanosarcinales; Methanosarcinaceae.
GCUAUAGCCUUGCCAGCGGGCUCGGGAAUACGGAGGGUGCAAGCGGUUUCCUGAUUUAUUGGGUUUAAAGGGCCCGUAGGCGGACUUGUAAGUCAGUGGUGAAAUCUCAUAGCUUAACUAUGAAACUGCCAUUGAUACUGCAGGUCUUGAGUAAAUUUGAAGUGGCUGGAAUAAGUAGUGUAGCGGUGAAAUGCAUAGAUAUUACUUAGAACACCAAUUGCGAAGGCAGGUCACUAAGAUUUAACUGACGCUGAUGGACGAAAGCGUGGGUAGCGAACAGGAUUAGAUACCCCUGUAGUC